GAUGAACGCUGGCGGCGUGCUUAACACAUGCAAGUCGAACGAGAAGUGAAGACGGAAACCUUCGGGCGGAAGGCUUUAUUUCGAUUGGCGGUCGGGUGAUUAACGCGUGGGUAACCUGCCUCAUACAGGGGGAUAACAGUUGGAAACGACUGCUAAUACCGCAUAAGACCACAGCACCGCAUGGUGCGGGGGUAAAAACUCUGGUUGUAUGAGAUGGACCCGCGUUCGAUUAGCCAGUUGGCGGGGUAACGGCCCACCAAAGCGACGAUCGAUAGCCGAUCUGAGAGAAUGGCCGGCGACAUUGGGACUGAGACACGGCCCGAACUCCUACGGGAGGCAGCAGUGGGGAAUAUUGCACAGUGGGGGAAGCCCUGAUGCAGCGACGCCGGGUGAGUGAAGAAGUAUUUCGGGAUGUAAAGCUCUAUCAGCAGGGAAGAAAAUGACGGUACCUGAGGAAGAAGCCCCGGCUAACUACGUG
RNAcentral lists this ribosomal RNA (478 nucleotides) under uncultured bacterium. Its description in RNAcentral is "partial 16S ribosomal RNA". It matches the Rfam family "Bacterial small subunit ribosomal RNA", at positions 28 to 507 of the family's 1533-position model. The record is from RNAcentral.